RNAcentral lists this ribosomal RNA (253 nucleotides) under uncultured bacterium. Its description in RNAcentral is "partial 16S ribosomal RNA". It matches the Rfam family "Bacterial small subunit ribosomal RNA", at positions 524 to 776 of the family's 1533-position model. The record is from RNAcentral.
UACGGAGGGUGCAAGCGUUGUCCGGAUUUAUUGGGUUUAAAGGGUGCGUAGGCGGCUUUUUAAGUCAGUGGUGAAAGCCGAUCGCUUAACGAUCGAACUGCCAUUGAUACUGAGAGGCUUGAGUAUAGUUGAGGUAGGCGGAAUUGACAGUGUAGCGGUGAAAUGCGUAGAGAUGGGCAAGAACACCAAUUGCGAAGGCAGCUUACUAAAGUAUAACUGACGCUGAGGCACGAAAGUGUGGGGAUCAAACAGG